Molecule: ribosomal RNA, 254 nt
Filed under: uncultured bacterium
Lineage: Bacteria
Description: partial 16S ribosomal RNA
Rfam family: Bacterial small subunit ribosomal RNA
Source: RNAcentral
GACGAACCGUGCGAACGUUAUUCGGAAUUACUGGGCUUAAAGCGCGUGUAGGCGGAUCGCCACGUCGGCUGCUGAAAUCCCCCGGCUCAACCGGGGAACGGGCACCGAUACGGGCGGUCUCGAGGGGGGUAGGGGGACCUGGAACUUCCGGUGGAGCGGUGAAAUGCGUUGAGAUCGGAAGGAACGCCCGUGGCGAAAGCGAGGUCCUGGACCCUUUCUGACGCUGAGACGCGAAAGCCAGGGGAGCGAACGGG